AUGAAGACACCUCCAUCACUAAUCCAUCGUAGCAGUGGUUCCAACAAUCACUUUCACAGUGUCCUUUAUCUUUGCUCACAUCCAGCCUCAUGCAGUGUCUCUGACAGGCUGCUCAGGUCGACCCGGCGCUGCGGACUCGCUUCACUCCAGGGGAUUGUUGGCGUGAGAAGUGAACUCUUCCCUCUUUACUCACCUGACACGAUAUGAACUGAGCCACUGAGUGAGGGACAGCAAGGUCUACAACACAAAGACAGUACAGUACAAGUGUCUGUCUCUGCUGCGGUGAGAACAGGCAGACGUGGUGCUUUUUUCGUCUGUUCUGUCGCGUUUGUUCAAAAUAAUUCACUGUGAUGUGCUCACAAAUGCGUAAGAACCUUAUUUCUUGUGGCAACAAGUCGUGAGCAUUUUCUUUUGCAGGAAGUAGAUUUUUUUUACAGCAACACAGUCUUAAAGAACGGAAUCACAGUCUGACAAGCGGUGACAUCAGUUAGAAAGCCAUUCACAUCCAAUUGUUUGUGUCUGUUGUUGCUGUUUCUAAGACAAAUCGACAGGAAGCUGCAAACAUCUGACUUUGUAGCAACGAGUCAUCAAUGAAACCAAUCCAAAGUCACAUCCCCUUCAUCAGAUAAAAUAAGCAUCACAUAAAAUAAGCACUAAUUAAUAGUUUGUUAAUUAGUGUUUAAAGCAAAUGUGCUGGUGUUGCUAUGAUUUACUGUGUGUGCUCCUGGCAGGUGCUGGGCAUCGAUCUGUGUGAUGACACUGUGGCGCUGAGUGGAUGCCAUCAUUAAUGAGGAAACGGGAUGCUUUUUUUAUUCCACUCACCCUAAUGUGAGGAUGAUGUGAGUUUAUAGGAGACAGUAUUCCUCAUUGUGGUGGACUAGCUUUUCAUGAACAAGCUGGUGGACACUUUCCCACCACAGCAUAGUGUAUUGAUCCACGUCAAUGAAUUAAUUGUGGUUUCAUUUGCAAUGUGAUAUACUGGCAAAAGAAAUAAUCAUUAAUGAUUUGACAAGUCAGUUUAGAAGAAAAAAAUCACACUGUCAUAAUCACUUCACCAGAAGAUAAACAAAUAUUAUUCUGACUUUAUGGGCAACAGUUUGGUAGCUAAUACAGUACUGUAGAUCAUAUAACUGGUGGCUUUAAUUCCCAGAGUGAAAAGUUUAAUAUUUUUAUUUGAAAGCAGUAACGCAAGAGUAGAAAGUACUAU
Molecule: long non-coding RNA, 1207 nt
Filed under: Betta splendens (Siamese fighting fish)
Lineage: Eukaryota; Metazoa; Chordata; Actinopteri; Anabantiformes; Osphronemidae
Description: lncRNA (ENSBSLG00000005513.1)
Source: RNAcentral